RNAcentral lists this ribosomal RNA (446 nucleotides) under uncultured bacterium. RNAcentral describes it as "partial 16S ribosomal RNA". It matches the Rfam family "Bacterial small subunit ribosomal RNA", at positions 338 to 795 of the family's 1533-position model. The record is from RNAcentral.
CCUACGGGUGGCUGCAGUCGAGAAUCAUUCACAAUGGGGGAAACCCUGAUGGUGCGACGCCGCGUGGGGGAAUGAAGGUCUUCGGAUUGUAAACCCCUGUCAUGUGGGAACAAAUGAAAAAGAUAGUACCACAAGAGGAAGAGACGGCCAACUCUGUGCCAGCAGCCGCGGUAAGACGGAGGUCUCGAGCGUUGUUCGGACUCACUGGGCGUAAAGCGUGCGUAGGCUGUUUCUUAAGUCGUGUGUGAAAGGCGCGGGCUUAACCCGCGGACUGCACAUGAUACUGCGAGACUAGAGUAAUGUAGGGGGAGCCGGAAUUCUCGGUGUAGCAGUGAAAUGCGUAGAUAUCGAGAGGAACACUGGUGGCGAAGGCGGGUGCCUGGACAUUAACUGACGCUGAGGCACGAAGGCCAGGGGAGCGAACGGGAUUAGAUACCCUUGUAGUC